GACGAACGCUGGCGGCGUGCUUAACACAUGCAAGUCGAACGGAAAGGCCCUGCUUUUGUGGGGUGCUCGAGUGGCGAACGGGUGAGUAACACGUGAGUAACCUGCCCUUGACUUUGGGAUAACUUCAGGAAACUGGGGCUAAUACCGGAUAGGAGCUCCUGCUGCAUGGUGGGGGUUGGAAAGUUUCGGCGGGUGGGGUUGGACUCGCGGCUUAUCAGCUUGUUGGUGGGGUAGUGGCUUACCAAGGCUUUGACGGGUAGCCGGCCUGAGAGGGUGACCGGCCACAUUGGGACUGAGAUACGGCCCAGACUCCUACGGGAGGCAACAGUGGGGAAUAUGGCACAAUGGGCGGAAGCCUGAUGCAGCAACGCCGCGUGCGGGAUGACGGCCUUCGGGUGGUAAACCGCUUUCGCCUGUGACGAAGCGUGAGUGACGGUAAUGGGGAAAGAAGCACCGGCUAACUACGU
This 467-nucleotide ribosomal RNA is filed under the name uncultured bacterium. RNAcentral's name for it is "partial 16S ribosomal RNA". It matches the Rfam family "Bacterial small subunit ribosomal RNA", at positions 28 to 506 of the family's 1533-position model. The record is from RNAcentral.